Molecule: ribosomal RNA, 406 nt
Filed under: uncultured bacterium
Lineage: Bacteria
Description: partial 16S ribosomal RNA
Rfam family: Bacterial small subunit ribosomal RNA
Source: RNAcentral
AUUGAACGCUGGCGGCAGGCCUAACACAUGCAAGUCGAACGAGUGGCGGACGGGUGAGUAAUGUCUGGGAAACUGCCCGAUGGAGGGGGAUAACUACUGGAAACGGUAGCUAAUACCGCAUCCCAUCGGAUGUGCCCAUAUGGGAUUAGCUAGUAGGUGGGGUAACGACUCACCUAGGCGACGAUCCCUAGCUGGUCUGAGAGGAUGACCAGCAACACUGGAACUGAGACACGGUCCAGACUCCUACGGAAGGCAGCAGAGGGGAAUAGUGCACAAUGGGCGCAAGCCUGAUGCAGCCAUGCAGCGUGUAUGAAGAAGGCCUUCGGGUUGUAAAGUACUUUCAGCGAGGAGGCGUUACUCGCAGAAGAAGAACCGGCUAACUCCGUGCCAGCAGCCGCGGUAAUAC